Molecule: ribosomal RNA, 766 nt
Filed under: uncultured bacterium
Lineage: Bacteria
Description: bacterial SSU rRNA
Rfam family: Bacterial small subunit ribosomal RNA
Source: RNAcentral
UCGAGGGGCAGCGAGUAGAUUGCUUGCAAUCUACGUCGGCGACCGGCGCACGGGUGCGUAACGCGUAUGCAACCUACCCAUUACAGGGGGAUAACACUGAGAAAUCGGUACUAAUACCCCAUAACAUCCAGGGAGGCAUCUUCUUGGGUUGAAAACUCCGGUGGUAAUGGAUGGGCAUGCGUUGUAUUAGUUAGUUGGUGGGGUAACGGCUCACCAAGACGACGAUACAUAGGGGGACUGAGAGGUUAACCCCCCACAUUGGUACUGAGACACGGACCAAACUCCUACGGGAGGCAGCAGUGAGGAAUAUUGGUCAAUGGACGCAAGUCUGAACCAGCCAUGCCGCGUGCAGGAAGACGGCUCUAUGAGUUGUAAACUGCUUUUGUACGAGGGUAAACGCAGAUACGUGUAUCUGUCUGAAAGUAUCGUACGAAUAAGGAUCGGCUAACUCCGUGCCAGCAGCCGCGGUAAUACGGAGGAUUCAAGCGUUAUCCGGAUUUAUUGGGUUUAAAGGGUGCGUAGGCGGUCGGAUAAGUUAGAGGUGAAAUCCCGGGGCUCAACUUCGGAAUUGCCUCUGAUACUGUUCGGCUAGAGAGUGGUUGCGGUAGGCGGAAUGUAUGGUGUAGCGGUGAAAUGCUUAGAGAUCAUACAGAACACCGAUUGCGAAGGCAGCUUACCAAGCUACUUCUGACGUUGAGGCACGAAAGCGUGGGGAGCAAACAGGAUUAGAUACCCUGGUAGUCCACGCAGUAAACGAUGAUAACUC